RNAcentral lists this ribosomal RNA (945 nucleotides) under Pedobacter ginsenosidimutans. RNAcentral describes it as "bacterial SSU rRNA". It matches the Rfam family "Bacterial small subunit ribosomal RNA", at positions 56 to 1001 of the family's 1533-position model. The record is from RNAcentral. Lineage: Bacteria; Pseudomonadati; Bacteroidota; Sphingobacteriia; Sphingobacteriales; Sphingobacteriaceae.
UGCAAGUCGAACGAUAUCAUCCAGCUUGCUGGAUGAGAAAGUGGCGCACGGGUGCGUAACGCGUAUGCAACCUACCUUAAUCAGGGGGAUAGCCCGGAGAAAUCCGGAUUAAUACCGCAUAAAAUCACAGUCCCACCUGGGACAAUGAUCAAACAUUUAUGGGAUUGAGAUGGGCAUGCGUGUCAUUAGCUAGUUGGCGGGGUAACGGCCCACCAAGGCGACGAUGACUAGGGGAUCUGAGAGGAUGGCCCCCCACACUGGUACUGAGACACGGACCAGACUCCUACGGGAGGCAGCAGUAAGGAAUAUUGGUCAAUGGAGGCAACUCUGAACCAGCCAUGCCGCGUGCAGGAAGACUGCCCUAUGGGUUGUAAACUGCUUUUAUCCGGGAAUAAACCUCUUUACGUGUAAAGAGCUGAAUGUACCGGAAGAAUAAGGAUCGGCUAACUCCGUGCCAGCAGCCGCGGUAAUACGGAGGAUCCAAGCGUUAUCCGGAUUUAUUGGGUUUAAAGGGUGCGUAGGCGGCCUGUUAAGUCAGGGGUGAAAGACGGUAGCUCAACUAUCGCAGUGCCCUUGAUACUGAUGGGCUUGAAUGGACUAGAGGUAGGCGGAAUGAGACAAGUAGCGGUGAAAUGCAUAGAUAUGUCUCAGAACACCGAUUGCGAAGGCAGCUUACUAUGGUCUUAUUGACGCUGAGGCACGAAAGCGUGGGGAUCAAACAGGAUUAGAUACCCUGGUAGUCCACGCCCUAAACGAUGAACACUCGCUGUUGGCGAUACACAGUCAGCGGCUAAGCGAAAGCGUUAAGUGUUCCACCUGGGGAGUACGCUCGCAAGAGUGAAACUCAAAGGAAUUGACGGGGGCCCGCACAAGCGGAGGAGCAUGUGGUUUAAUUCGAUGAUACGCGAGGAACCUUACCCGGGCUUGAAAGUUAGUGAAUCAUUU